Non-coding RNA from Erinaceus europaeus (western European hedgehog), 36 nucleotides. The record is from Rfam. Lineage: Eukaryota; Metazoa; Chordata; Mammalia; Eulipotyphla; Erinaceidae.
CAAAUCUCCUACUUCAACAGUGUUUGGAUGGAACAG